This 100-nucleotide ribosomal RNA is filed under the name uncultured bacterium. Its description in RNAcentral is "partial 16S ribosomal RNA". It matches the Rfam family "Bacterial small subunit ribosomal RNA", at positions 1385 to 1482 of the family's 1533-position model. The record is from RNAcentral.
CCACACCGCCCGUCCACACCAUGGGAGGUUGAUUGCACCAGAAGUAGGUAGCCUAACCGCAAGGAGGGCGCUUACCACGGUGUGGUCAAUGACUGGGGUG